Molecule: ribosomal RNA, 543 nt
Filed under: uncultured bacterium
Lineage: Bacteria
Description: partial 16S ribosomal RNA
Rfam family: Bacterial small subunit ribosomal RNA
Source: RNAcentral
UGGGGAAUUUUGGACAAUGGGCGAAAGCCUGAUCCAGCAAUGCCGCGUGUGUGAAGAAGGCCUUCGGGUUGUAAAGCACUUUUGUCCGGAAAGAAAUCCUUGACUCUAAUACAGUCGGGGGAUGACGGUACCGGAAGAAUAAGCACCGGCUAACUACGUGCCAGCAGCCGCGGUAAUACGUAGGGUGCAAGCGUUAAUCGGAAUUACUGGGCGUAAAGCGUGCGCAGGCGGUUUGCUAAGACCGAUGUGAAAUCCCCGGGCUCAACCUGGGAACUGCAUUGGUGACUGGCAGGCUAGAGUAUGGCAGAGGGGGGUAGAAUUCCACGUGUAGCAGUGAAAUGCGUAGAGAUGUGGAGGAAUACCGAUGGCGAAGGCAGCCCCCUGGCAAGUACUGACGCUCAUGCACGAAAAGCGUGGGGGAGCAAAACAGGAUUAGAUACCCCUGGUAGUCCACGCCCCUAAAACGAUGUCAACUAGUUGUUGGGGGAUUCAUUUUCCUUAGUAACGUAGCUAACGCGUGAAGUUGACCGCCUGGGGGAGUAC